RNAcentral lists this long non-coding RNA (1858 nucleotides) under Solanum tuberosum (potato). RNAcentral's name for it is "long non-coding RNA (STUB_LNC003611)". Lineage: Eukaryota; Viridiplantae; Streptophyta; Magnoliopsida; Solanales; Solanaceae. The record is from RNAcentral.
CUGAUCCAAGACGCCAAGUGCUCAUCCUCGUCUCCAAUCCCAAAAAGUGGUUGAUGGCACGAACAAUCACUGGUGGUAGCUGGUACUAGGACUUGCAUCACGAAACAGAUGCAGAGUGCAACAUGAGUACCAAAACAAAGGUACUCACUAGGCAUCAUAGGUCGUCUGAGCAAGAAAGGUAAAGACAAUAUGAAAAGAUAGAAUCUAGACACAAACAUAGGUCAAAGCGGAUAAGAAAAAGAGCACACUAGCAUACCGAAGUAAAUCUAAGUACAACUAAACUAAACCUAACUUGACCUCAUAAGCCCAGAAGGUACACUCGUUCGCAAGUUUAAAUUCAUAAUCCCAACAUGUACACAAAAUAACUAAGUUUACUGGGAGAAGAGUACCACAGAUUUGAACUCAAGCGAAAAUCAAGCUCCCAGCCCAAGUAAAUCACAAAUACCCAAUAAUUCAGUUAACUCCCAGCCCAACUAGCAAGAGUGACCCGGGGGCAUGUCAACUCCGAAGAGGAUCUCAAUAUAUGAAGGCCGCUCAGCCAGCUAGUCUGUUCCUGAGGCAUAAGCCGCCUAGCUAGUAAGAGUGACCCAGGGGCAUAUCUACUUCGAAGAGGAUCUCAACAAUCAAUACCAACCCACCGUUGAACAACACCCACUCACAAGGAAUCACAAGAAGGCAACAUGACCCGGGGGCAUGUCGACUUCGAAGAGGAUCUCAACAAUCAAUACCAAGCCACCGUUGAACAACGUCCACUCACAAGGAAACACAAGAACACUCCAAGCCUAAAACACUCCAAUCCCAAGUCACCGCGAAAGCAUAAAACCUCCAGUAAUGCAUCAGAGUCGCAUAAAUAGGGAGAGAGAAUAGAAGAUCAAUAAGGCUGCGGAAACACCUAAACUAAGGCUCAUACUAUUAGAUUCAAGUCUACUAAUCUAGUCUAUAGGAAUCUAGCCCAUUGGAACUGACAUCAGAGAAGAAACAAGGCUAACAUGCCACAAGGAUUGCAAGUCUAAGGCAACACUAGUCUAAUCCUAGACUAAAACCGAACAUGCAGAAAAACCAAUAAAACGACAACAGUCAAGUCACAACAACAUGGAACAACAUACAAUCCCCAACUAGCAUGAUACUACACCCAAAAAUACCGCCAGUCAAGCCUAAGCAUGGUAUCUAAGAGAGGAAUAUAAGAACAACUAGGUACCAAUCCCCAAUUCACUCUAAUCAACAUGCAUUCACGCAUUCAGGCUCAAUCUAAUAGAAAGGAAGUCGUAGCCUCCUUGUAGGCGUUGACGCGUGCUCCCGAAUCACAAGGUUUGAGUUUUUCUUUUUCAAAUGGCCUCUGAAUGUUGCCACACUACCAAAUAUAGGAUCACAAUGUCAAUACGGCCGUUUAGACACCAAAAACAGAAACAAAUCAAUUUCGGAGUCAAACGGGAAUUGUGGGACCUGCAUCAAAAUUUUUGAAACCGACUCCGUCAAAAUGUCCCAAAAAGUUCCCCGAACUUGUGUUCCUAAAUGGAUAAUUUCAAAAAAAAAAAACUUGUGUUCCUAAAUGGAACACAAUCAGGACUUAGAAAUGAAAGCAAGCAGCAUGCAACAAUUCACAAUUAAGAGCAAGAAAAUAGGCUAAGGCAGCCUACUAAAAUGGAAAUUCACCUCAAAAGAACAAUUCCCACCUAACUUCGAUUAUUCCAUAGUGUAGCCACAGUCUCCACGAUCACCCAAGACUUCAAAUUAUUGAAAUCAGAGCUCAAACGAAGGAGCAAUCUCCAAAUCAAUUUACCACAAAUGCUGAAAAUCGCGCCUGAGUCUUUAAUAAAAGACUGCCCGACCUUCGCUUAAGCAGCCACUUACGUCGCUU